RNAcentral lists this ribosomal RNA (557 nucleotides) under uncultured bacterium. Its description in RNAcentral is "bacterial SSU rRNA". It matches the Rfam family "Bacterial small subunit ribosomal RNA", at positions 358 to 916 of the family's 1533-position model. The record is from RNAcentral.
GGAAUAUUGGUCAAUGGGGGCAACCCUGAACCAGCCAUGCCGCGUGCAGGAAGACGGCCCUCGGGUUGUAAACUGCUUUUAUACGGGAAUAAAUCACGCUACGUGUAGGGUGUUGAAUGUACUGUAAGAAUAAGGAUCGGCUAACUCCGUGCCAGCAGCCGCGGUAAUACGGAGGAUCCAAGCGUUAUCCGGGUUUAUUGGGUUUAAAGGGUGCGUAGGCGGCCUAUUAAGUCAGGGGUGAAAGACGGUGGCUCAACCAUCGCAGUGCCCUUGAUACUGAUGGGCUUGAUUACACUUGAGGUAGGCGGAAUGUGACAAGUAGCGGUGAAAUGCAUAGAUAUGUCACAGAACACCAAUUGCGAAGGCAGCUUACUAAGGUGUUAAUGACGCUGAGGCACGAAAGCGUGGGGAUCAAACAGGAUUAGAUACCCUGGUAGUCCACGCCCUAAACGAUGAAUACUCGAUGUUAGCGAUAUACAGUUAGCGUCAAAGCGAAAGCGUUAAGUAUUCCACCUGGGGAGUACGCCCGCAAGGGUGAAACUCAAAGGAAUUGACGG